RNAcentral lists this ribosomal RNA (425 nucleotides) under uncultured bacterium. RNAcentral's name for it is "partial 16S ribosomal RNA". It matches the Rfam family "Bacterial small subunit ribosomal RNA", at positions 354 to 796 of the family's 1533-position model. The record is from RNAcentral.
GUGGGGAAUAUUGGACAAUGGGCGAAAGCCUGAUCCAGCCAUGCCGCGUGAGUGAUGAAGGCCUUAGGGUUGUAAAGCUCUUUCAGUAGGGAAGAUAAUGACGGUACCUACAGAAGAAGCCCCGGCUAACUUCGUGCCAGCAGCCGCGGUAAUACGAAGGGGGCUAGCGUUGUUCGGAUUUACUGGGCGUAAAGCGCACGUAGGCGGAUCGUUAAGUCGGGGGUGAAAUCCUGGAGCUCAACUCCAGAACUGCCUUCGAUACUGGCGAUCUUGAGUCCGGAAGAGGUGAGUGGAACUGCUAGUGUAGAGGUGGAAUUCGUAGAUAUUAGGAAGAACACCAGUGGCGAAGGCGGCUCACUGGUCCGGUACUGACGCUGAGGUGCGAAAGCGUGGGGAGCAAACAGGAUUAGAUACCCGAGUAGUCC